CAGAGUUGAUCAUGGCUCAGGAUGAACGCUAGCUACAGGCUUAACACAUGCAAGUCGAGGGGCAGCAUGUUGGUUGCUUGCAACCAAUGAUGGCGACCGGCGCACGGGUGAGUAACGCGUAUCCAACCUACCCUUGUCCAUCGGAUAACCCGUCGAAAGGCGGCCUAACACGAUAUGCGGUUCACAGCAGGCAUCUAAGGUGAACGAAAUGUGAAGGAGAAGGAUGGGGAUGCGUCUGAUUAGCUUGUUGGCGGGGUAACGCCACCAAGGCUACGAUCAGUAGGGGUUCUGGAGAGGAAGGUCCCCCACAUUGGAACUGAGACACGGUCCAAACUCCUACGGGAGGCA
RNAcentral lists this ribosomal RNA (348 nucleotides) under uncultured bacterium. RNAcentral describes it as "bacterial SSU rRNA". It matches the Rfam family "Bacterial small subunit ribosomal RNA", at positions 8 to 350 of the family's 1533-position model. The record is from RNAcentral.